AUGCGGCGGGAUUUCGAGGAGAUCUCCGACGACGAGUGGUCGAACCACACCUUCAAGCCCUCCCGGGUCCUCAAGCGCCCCCACCGGAGCCCCCAGCCGCCCGCGCGGCCUCCCCCUCCCAUCGAUUCGUUCCGCUACGACCCCAAGGCUUCCUCCGCCGUCGGCACCAGCAACGGCGCCGCCGUCGUCCUCUCCGACGACGACGACGACGACGACGACUUCGACCUGGGGAAAAGCGUCAAGGCGCGCCGCGCCGAGGAUAGCUCGCGCGUGCUCAAGCGUCCCCAGCACAAAAGCCCGCCUAGGCGGGCCACGCCGUCCACCCAAUCCUCCCGGCACAACCCUAAACCCUCCAAGGCCGCCAUCGUCGCGGCGCUCUCCGACGACGACUUCGAACCCGAAGACGAAUUCGACCCCGAAGACGACGAUUUCGACCUCCCUGCUUCGAGGAGAUCGCGGCCGCGCCCUUCCACUGGCCGACGGCUGGCAACCGCCACCAUUGAUCUCUCCGAGGAAGAGGAAGAUUUAGACCUCACAUUUGAGGACUCCGACCUCGCCGAUGAUGACUCUGAUCUCGCAGAUGAUGAUUCCGACCACCCUGCUCCGAGGUCAUCACGGCCGCGCCGCACCACUGGUCGCCGAUUCGUGAUCGAGGACGAUGAUGACAGUGAUGGCUCCGUGGCUGCUGGUGUGGUGGAGGUAGGAGAUGAAGAAGAGGAUGAUGGGGUGAACUGGUCGGAGUUGGAGAACGAGGAUGAUGAAGAUGGGGACUACAAUGGGCAGAGUAGUGUGAAGGCAGAUGAGGUGGAAGGGGAUGUGGUGGGGAAGGCAUUGCGCAGGUGCUCACGGAUUUCGGUUGAUCUGAGGCAGGAGCUGUAUGGUUCUUCAGCACGGAAUUGCGAAAGCUAUGCUGAGACAGAUGCCUCCACCGUCCGGAUUGUCACUCAGGAAGAUGUGGAUGCAGCAUGCACAAGCGAGGACAUGGAAUUCAACCCGGUGCUGAAACCAUACCAGCUUGUGGGGGUCAAUUUCCUUCUACUGUUGCAUCAGAAAGGCAUCGGCGGAGCAAUUUUGGCUGAUGAAAUGGGUCUCGGCAAGACAGUCCAGGCUGUGACUUACCUUAAUCUCUUGCAACAUCUAUAUGAUGACCCGGGUCCACACCUGAUAGUUUGCCCAGCUUCAGUGUUGGAAAAUUGGGAAAGGGAACUUAAGAAGUGGUGUCCUUCGUUUUCGAUCAUCAUGUUUCAUGGUGCUGGAAGGACUGCCUUCUCAAAGGAGUUAAGUUCCUUAGGCAAAGCAGGAUGUCCAGCUCCAUUUAAUGUCCUACUUGUUGGCUACUCGCUCUUCGAAAGACGGAGUGCUCAACAAAAGGAUGACCGCAAGGCACUCAAAAGAUGGAAAUGGAGUUGUGUAUUGAUGGACGAAGCACACGUGCUGAAAGAUAAGGGCAGCUUCCGAUGGAAAAACCUUAUGGCUGUUGCACAACAUGCUCAUCAGCGGCUAAUGCUGACGGGAACUCCACUUCAAAAUGAUUUGCAUGAGCUAUGGUCAUUGUUGGAGUUAAUGAUGCCUGAUAUAUUUGCCACAGGAGAAGUUGAUCUCAAGAAGCUAUUGAAUUCAGAAGACCAUGAGUUAAUUUCACGUAUAAAGUCCAUUUUAGGGCCAUUCAUCCUUAGGCGCUUGAAGUCGGAUGUUAUGCAGCAACUUGUCCCGAAGACACAACAUGUUAACUUUGUCUCCAUGGGAUCAGAGCAGCUUAAAGCUUAUAAUGGAGCCGCAAAUGAGUACCGUGCCAUUUGUGAGGCUCGUACUGCAAAGUCUUCCGGCCAAUAUCCUCAAAAUGUUGUUGGAUUAAUUCCAAAGCGUCAAAUAUCGAACUAUUUUAUGCAGUUGCGUAAGGGUUUUUCAUUGCUCCCACAGAUUGCCAAUCACCCUUUGCUUAUAAGGCGCAUUUACAGUGACAAAGAUGUCGAUCGAAUAGCAAGGUUGACGUAUCCUAAAGGCGCAUUUGGCUUUGAAUGUUCCUUCGACAGAGCAAUCCAAGCGCUAAAGAACUACAAUGAUUUUGCUAUCCACCAACUGUUGAUUACACAUGGUGAUGCUGGUACAAAGGGUGCCCUAAAAGACGAGCAUGUAUUUGCAUCAGCGAAAUGUCAGGCCUUAGCAGAGCUUCUACCGUCUUUAACAAAUAAUGGUCACCGAGUUCUUAUAUUCAGCCAGUGGACCACAAUGCUUGAUAUCCUUGAAUGGGCACUGGAAGUAAUAGGAAUUACAUAUAGGCGUCUCGAUGGAGGCACCCCAGUAAUAGAAAGGCAGACUAUAGUGGACACUUUCAACAAUGAUCUUUCGAUAAAUGCAUGUUUGCUUUCAACUAGAGCUGGAGGUCAGGGGCUGAAUCUAAUAGGAGCUGAUACAGUCAUAAUACACGACAUGGAUUUUAACCCUCAGAUGGACCGGCAAGCUGAAGAUCGUUGCCAUCGCAUUGGACAGCAGAAACCUGUCACUAUCUAUAGGUUAGUGACAAAGGAAUCAGUUGAUGAAAGCAUAUAUGCAAUUGCAAGGAGAAAGCUAGUACUAGAUGCUGCUGUUCUUCAGUCUGGAGCAGACUUAGAUGAUAGAACUGAUGUACCUGAGCAGACAAUGGGAGAGAUUCUGGCAUCUCUUCUUCUGGUGUGA
Molecule: ribosomal RNA, 2676 nt
Filed under: Triticum aestivum (bread wheat)
Lineage: Eukaryota; Viridiplantae; Streptophyta; Magnoliopsida; Poales; Poaceae
Description: partial small subunit ribosomal RNA
Source: RNAcentral